UCCUCGGGGGGCAGCAGUGGGGAAUAUUGCACAAUGGGGGAAACCCUGAUGCAGCGACGCCGCGUGAGUGAAGAAGUAUUUCGGUAUGUAAAGCUCUAUCAGCAGGGAAGAAAAUGACGGUACCUGACUAAGAAGCCCCGGCUAACUACGUGCCAGCAGCCGCGGUAAUACGUAGGGGGCAAGCGUUAUCCGGAUUUACUGGGUGUAAAGGGAGCGUAGACGGCAGCGCAAGUCUGGAGUGAAAUGCCGGGGCUCAACCCCGGAACUGCUUUGGAAACUGGGCAGCUAGAGUGCGGGAGAGGAAA
RNAcentral lists this ribosomal RNA (305 nucleotides) under uncultured bacterium. Its description in RNAcentral is "bacterial SSU rRNA". It matches the Rfam family "Bacterial small subunit ribosomal RNA", at positions 338 to 660 of the family's 1533-position model. The record is from RNAcentral.